Molecule: ribosomal RNA, 439 nt
Filed under: uncultured bacterium
Lineage: Bacteria
Description: partial 16S ribosomal RNA
Rfam family: Bacterial small subunit ribosomal RNA
Source: RNAcentral
CUACGGGUUGCUCCAGUGGGGAAUAUUGCACAAUGGGGGGAACCCUGAUGCAGCAACGCCGCGUGGAGGAUGACGCAUUUCGGUGUGUAAACUGCUUUUAUAUGUCAAGAAAAUGACGGUAGCAUAUGAAUAAGCACCGGCUAACUCCGUGCCAGCAGCCGCGGUAAUACGGAGGGUGCAAGCGUUACUCGGAAUCACUGGGCGUAAAGGACGCGUAGGCAGGUUGGAAAGUCUGGUGUGAAAUCCUACAGCUUAACUGUAGAACUGCACUUGAAACUUCUAAUCUAGAGUAUGGGAGGGGGAGAUGGAAUUAGUGGUGUAGGGGUAAAAUCCGUAGAUAUCACUAGGAAUACCUAAAGCGAAGGCGAUCUCCUGGAACAUUACUGACGCUAAGGCGUGAAAGCGUGGGGAGCAAACAGGAUUAGAUACCCCUGUAGUC